GAGCAGUAGAGUGACAUGAUCAGAGUGGCAUUUAGCAAAGCUUUCUCUAUUGCUCCAAGAAGCAGAGAAUGACCAACUGUGCCAAACGCUGCUUUUAGAGAAAAUAAGGUCCAAGAAUUGACCGGUAAGUGUUCAAAUAGUUUAAUAAAAAAAGGAAUUUAAUUAGUAGAAAUAUUCUGAUAUAUAAUUUAUAAAUGGCAUUUUAUGGGUUUUAUGGGAUUUGUUGCCCUUCUUUUGAAUAAUUAAAAGUGGAACACAGAUAUAAUAAAUAAUUAAUGAGUAAGAGUUUUAAAUGGAAUGCUAGAGAUGUAAAGGUAUAGGAAUAACUGGAGAGUACCAUUAAUUUAUUGCGGUCUUUGAUAUUUUCUGCAUAUUGCUGGUAACGAUCCUUCUGCUUCAUGUGAAAUUUAUUCCUCAGAAUAAUUCUUUAAACAUAACUCAACAUUAUGGCAAUUAUCCAAGAUUUCAUGCCAGACACCGACCAAGAGAAAGGUUGACUCUUGAAAAAAGGUAUUUUCAACGUCUCUGCAGGUCAUCAGGACGACGCCGUGGAAGAGUUCGUGAACGUUUCAGGAGAGACUCGGAGGAGUACCGAGCUUGACCGGCGGACACCGCACCGAGCCGCUCCACUGGGCCGGGGGAGGCAGGGCUGGCGG
This 656-nucleotide long non-coding RNA is filed under the name Fukomys damarensis (Damara mole-rat). RNAcentral's name for it is "lncRNA (ENSFDAG00000023527.1)". The record is from RNAcentral. Lineage: Eukaryota; Metazoa; Chordata; Mammalia; Rodentia; Bathyergidae.